GGACCCGCACAAGUAGUGGAGCAUGUGGUUUAAUUCGAAGAUACGCGCAGAACCUUACCAACACUUGACAUGUUCGUCGCGACUCUAAGAGAUUAGAGUUUUCGGUUCGGCCGGACGAAACACAGGUGCUGCAUGGCUGUCGUCAGCUCGUGUCGUGAGAUGUUGGGUUAAGUCCCGCAACGAGCGCAACCCUCACUUUUAGUUGCCAUCAUUAAGUUGGGCACUCUGAAAGAACUGCCAGUGAUAAGCUGGAGGAAGGUGGGGAUGACGUCAAGUCCUCAUGGCCCUUACGUGUUGGGCUACACACGUGCUACAAUGGUAUCUACAACAGGAAGCAAGACUGCGAAGUUAAAGCAAAUCCUAAAAAGAUGCCUCAGUUCGGAUUGCACUCUGCAACUCGAGUGCAUGAAGCUGGAAUUACUAGUAAUCGU
This 431-nucleotide ribosomal RNA is filed under the name uncultured bacterium. RNAcentral's name for it is "bacterial SSU rRNA". It matches the Rfam family "Bacterial small subunit ribosomal RNA", at positions 917 to 1345 of the family's 1533-position model. The record is from RNAcentral.